Molecule: long non-coding RNA, 677 nt
Filed under: Setaria viridis
Lineage: Eukaryota; Viridiplantae; Streptophyta; Magnoliopsida; Poales; Poaceae
Description: long non-coding RNA (SVIR_LNC005613)
Source: RNAcentral
GCAACCAGCAACUCCGUCGGCCAUGGAAGUUGGAAGCUAAGGGAACAGAUGAAAGAGAAAACUGCCUGAGAUUGAAGAAAGAAGGAGAGCGGACAAAAAAUCAAGUGCUCAGCUGCUGCCAAGCACUCGAGUGUAGAAUAGACAAGCCCUAAUAUUAUUAGAUGGGCAUGGAAUUGUUUUGGUUCAAAUUCUACCCACAAAUGUUCAGAGCACCUUUAUUUGUUGAAUUGUGCAACUUAGUAGCCUGAAGGUAUUAUGGUGUUUUAACUUUUAAACAAUAUACGUGGAAAAACUAUGCAACACUUAUGACCCUAUUUUGAUACGGCUAGCUUGGGAGCCCCAAUAACACAUGAUGAAAGAAUAUGAGACCGCUCAACUUGAUGCAGCCUUGUUGGAUGUAAUUUCCUGCUCAUGGUAUGCUAUUGUCAGCCUCAGGUGCACCUUGUAACUUGGCUCAUGAAGGCUUUUGUAAUGUGUCUUUCCGAAACAUAGUUUUGCCCUUGUUUGCAGUAAAACCUCUUCUAGUUAUCUAGGACCGGACAGUUAAUUUGGCAUUUUUUCACUAUAAUUGUUAUAUCAUCUAUACAUGAGAUCUGAGUAUCUGCUGUUCCAUAAUUUAUAAGCAACAUAGUUUUGCCCUUGUUUGCAGUAAAACCUCUUCUAGUUAUCUAGGAUCG